GUUGUACAGCAGAUCUCUGGAGCUUAUUCAUCUUGUUUUACUGAAACUUCAUUCCUGCUGAUGAACAACUCCUCCUUUCCUGCUCCUCCCAGCCCAUGGUUUCUCUGAUUUUUGCCUCUCAUAAGCUAGGAAGCACCCCAGUGGAUCAUAAUAGGGGAUUUUCAUGGAUACCACAGCUUCUAUGAUUUCGCUGAGUCCCCACCCAAAUCUCAUCUUGAAUUGUAGUUCCCCAAAUUCCCACAUGUUGUGGGAGGAACCAGGUGGGGAUAAUUGAAUCAUGUGAGCACUUUUCCCCAUCCUGUUCUAGUGAUAGUGAAUUCGUUUUCAUGAGAUCUGAUGGUUUUAUAAGGGGCUUCCUCCUUCACUGGGCAUUCAUUCUUCUCUCUCCUGCCACCAUGUGAAGACAGACAUGUUUGUUUCCCCUUCCACAAUGAUUGUAAGUUUCCUGAAGCCUCUCCAGCCAUGCUGAAUUGUGAGUCAAUUAAACAUCUUUUCUUUGUAAAUUAUCCAGUCUUGGGUAUGUCUUUAUUAGCAUCGUGAGAACAGACUAAUACAGUCACUGAUUUCAUAAGCCAAUAGUUGAUGCUAUGUUAAAGCAACAUUUCUCAAAUGGCCCUAAGAGAAUUAGGUUGGAAAAAAUAGGGUUGUAUGGGACUCUACUGUACAGUACAGGACAGUUAGCCUCACGGGACUUUGGGCAUUACGUGUCAAUAGCACUCACCACUUGUUGUAAAAUGUAAAAUGCCUCCUCCAUUUUCCAAAUGCUUUUGGAGGGAGUUGCUGAGUAGCAACUGUGGCUGAGAAACUCCAAUUAAAAACAAAUAAAUAGAUAAUUUUAAAAAUCUUAUCAUGAGGUGCCAAAUGGUAAAAUAGCUGACCAAGUUGGUAUAAACCACCACAGAGAGGAA
Molecule: long non-coding RNA, 908 nt
Filed under: Homo sapiens (human)
Lineage: Eukaryota; Metazoa; Chordata; Mammalia; Primates; Hominidae
Description: HSALNT0174422
Source: RNAcentral